GGCUCAAUAGCUCAGGGGUAGAGCAGGGGACUCAUAAGCCUCGUGUCGGUGGUUCAAAUCCACCUUGAGCCA
This 72-nucleotide transfer RNA is filed under the name Candidatus Obscuribacterales bacterium. Its description in RNAcentral is "tRNA-Met". It matches the Rfam family "tRNA". Rfam says of the family: Transfer RNA (tRNA) molecules are approximately 80 nucleotides in length. Lineage: Bacteria; Bacillati; Candidatus Melainabacteria; Candidatus Obscuribacterales. The record is from RNAcentral. RNAcentral also lists the same sequence under 5 other names.